UCCAGGGUAGCCUACUGGACUUGGAAUCUGCCCGGUAAGCGGAACAAUGUGGGUUCGAUUCCCAUCCCUGGAC
Molecule: transfer RNA, 73 nt
Filed under: Cordylochernes scorpioides
Lineage: Eukaryota; Metazoa; Arthropoda; Arachnida; Pseudoscorpiones; Chernetidae
Description: tRNA-Thr
Rfam family: tRNA
About the family: Transfer RNA (tRNA) molecules are approximately 80 nucleotides in length.
Source: RNAcentral